Molecule: ribosomal RNA, 475 nt
Filed under: uncultured bacterium
Lineage: Bacteria
Description: bacterial SSU rRNA
Rfam family: Bacterial small subunit ribosomal RNA
Source: RNAcentral
GACGAACGCUGGCGGCGUGCUUAACACAUGCAAGUCACGGGGGCCCGCAAGGGCAACCGGCGAACGGGUGCGUAACACGUGAACAACCUGCCCCUGUGUGGGGGAUAGCCAUGCCAACGCGUGGGUAAUACCGCAUACGGUCUUUCUGGGGAGUCCCGGGGAGAAGAAAGCUCAGGCGCACGGGGAGGGGUUCGCGGCCUAUCAGCUAGUUGGCGAGGUAACGGCUCACCAAGGCGACGACGGGUAGCUGGUCUGAGAGGAUGGCCAGCCACAUUGGGACUGAGAGACGGCCCAGACUCCUACGGGAGGCAGCAGUGGGGAAUCUUGCGCAAUGGCCGAAAGGCUGACGCAGCGACGCCGCGUGUGGGAGGACGCCUUUCGGGUGUAACCACUGUUGCCCGGGACGAACAGCCCUUUCGAGGGGUCUGACGGUACCGGGUGAGGAGCACCGGCUAACUCCGUGCCAGCAGCCGCA